Molecule: ribosomal RNA, 452 nt
Filed under: uncultured bacterium
Lineage: Bacteria
Description: bacterial LSU rRNA
Rfam family: Bacterial large subunit ribosomal RNA
Source: RNAcentral
CGCGGGACACGAGAAACCCUGUGGGAAUCUGGGAGGACCAUCUUCCAAGGCUAAAUACUACCUGACGACCGAUAGUGGACGAGUACCGCGAGGGAAAGGUGAAAAGCACCCCGACGAGGGGAGUGAAAUAGACCCUGAAACCAUGUGCCUACAAGCAGUUCGAGCCCUAUGGCCGCAAGGCAAAGGGUGAGAGCGUGCCUUUUGCAUAAUGAGCCUGCGAGUUGUCCUACGUAGCAAGGUUAAGCCGAGAGGUGUAGCCGCAGCGAAAGCGAGUCUGAUAAGGGCGCUUAGUUGCGUGGGGCAGACCCGAAACCGUGUGAUCUACCCCAUGGUCAGGUUGAAGCGCGAGUAACAUCGCGUGGAGGACCGGAACUCACUAAGGUUGAAAACUUAGGGGGAUGAACUGUGGGUAGGGGUGGAAAGGCCAAUCAAACUCGGAAAUAGCUGGUUCU